RNAcentral lists this ribosomal RNA (606 nucleotides) under Penicillium sp. RNAcentral's name for it is "SSU rRNA". It matches the Rfam family "Eukaryotic small subunit ribosomal RNA", at positions 578 to 1190 of the family's 1831-position model. The record is from RNAcentral. Lineage: Eukaryota; Fungi; Ascomycota; Eurotiomycetes; Eurotiales; Aspergillaceae.
CGUAAUUCCAGCUCCAAUAGCGUAUAUUAAAGUUGUUGCAGUUAAAAAGCUUGUAGUUGAACCUUGGGCCUGGCUGGCCGGUCCGCCUCACCGCGAGUACUGGUCCGGCUGGGCCUUUCCUUCUGGGGAACCUCAUGGCCUUCACUGGCUGUGGGGGGAACCAGGACUUUUACUGUGAAAAAAUUAGAGUGUUCAAAGCAGGCCUUUGCUCGAAUACAUUAGCAUGGAAUAAUAGAAUAGGACGUGCGGUUCUAUUUUGUUGGUUUCUAGGACCGCCGUAAUGAUUAAUAGGGAUAGUCGGGGGCGUCAGUAUUCAGCUGUCAGAGGUGAAAUUCUUGGAUUUGCUGAAGACUAACUACUGCGAAAGCAUUCGCCAAGGAUGUUUUCAUUAAUCAGGGAACGAAAGUUAGGGGAUCGAAGACGAUCAGAUACCGUCGUAGUCUUAACCAUAAACUAUGCCGACUAGGGAUCGGACGGGAUUCUAUGAUGACCCGUUCGGCACCUUACGAGAAAUCAAAGUUUUUGGGUUCUGGGGGGAGUAUGGUCGCAAGGCUGAAACUUAAAGAAAUUGACGGAAGGGCACCACAAGGCGUGGAGCCUGCGGCU